Molecule: ribosomal RNA, 492 nt
Filed under: uncultured bacterium
Lineage: Bacteria
Description: partial 16S ribosomal RNA
Rfam family: Bacterial small subunit ribosomal RNA
Source: RNAcentral
AUUGAACGCUGGCGGUAGGCCUAACACAUGCAAGUCGAGCGGCAGCAGAGUACUUGCUCCUGGAUUCGGCUGCCGACGGGUGGACGGUGGCUAGAAACAUGCGUAGCUGUGUUGUCUAGCGUCCGAACGCAGGCGCUAUUACGGCAAACGUGCAGAGGACGUACGUGUGAAAUCUUCGGAUCUUCCGAUCUCACGUGAUCCUAGGUGGCGAGGUCGGAUUAGCUAGUUGGCGGGGUAAAGGCCCACCAAGGCGACGAUCCGUAGCUGGUCUGAGAGGAUGAUCAGCCACACUGGAACUGAGACACGGUCCAGACUCCUACGGGAGGCAGCAGUGGGGAAUAUUGGACAAUGGGCGAAAGCCUGAUCCAGCCAUACCGCGUGGGUGAAGAAGGUCUUCGGAUUGUAAAGCCCUUUUGUUUGGAAAGAAGAGCAGUAAGUUAAUACCUCGCUGUUUUGACGGUACCAAAAGAAUAAGCACCGGCUAACUUCGUG